Molecule: ribosomal RNA, 252 nt
Filed under: uncultured bacterium
Lineage: Bacteria
Description: partial 16S ribosomal RNA
Rfam family: Bacterial small subunit ribosomal RNA
Source: RNAcentral
ACAGAGGUGGCGAGCGUUGUUCGGAUUUACUGGGCGUAAAGGGUGCGUAGGCGGUAUCGUAUGUCGGAUGUGAAAGCUCACGGCUCACCCGUGGAACGGCAUCCGAAACUACGGAACUAGAGUACAGGAGAGGAGAGCGGAAUUCUCGGUGUAGCGGUGAAAUGCGUAGAUAUCGAGAGGAACACCGGUGGCGAAAGCGGCUCUCUGGACUGAUACUGACGCUGAGGCACGAAAGCCAGGGUAGCAAAAAGG